UCCGAAUUAGUUUAGUGGCUAUGACGGCGCCUUGUCAGUGUUCUCCGCGUAGAUGGUACGGCGCAGACCCGGGUUCAAUUCCCGGAUUCGGAG
Molecule: transfer RNA, 93 nt
Filed under: Sporisorium scitamineum
Lineage: Eukaryota; Fungi; Basidiomycota; Ustilaginomycetes; Ustilaginales; Ustilaginaceae
Description: transfer RNA-Asp(GTC)
Rfam family: tRNA
About the family: Transfer RNA (tRNA) molecules are approximately 80 nucleotides in length. Their secondary structure includes four short double-helical elements and three loops (D, anti-codon, and T loops). Further hydrogen bonds mediate the characteristic L-shaped molecular structure. tRNAs have two regions of fundamental functional importance: the anti-codon, which is responsible for specific mRNA codon recognition, and the 3' end, to which the tRNAs corresponding amino acid is attached (by aminoacyl-tRNA synthetases). tRNAs cope with the degeneracy of the genetic code in two manners: having more than one tRNA (with a specific anti-codon) for a particular amino acid; and 'wobble' base-pairing, i.e. permitting non-standard base-pairing at the 3rd anti-codon position.
Source: RNAcentral